RNAcentral lists this ribosomal RNA (824 nucleotides) under bacterium MD27. RNAcentral's name for it is "bacterial SSU rRNA". It matches the Rfam family "Bacterial small subunit ribosomal RNA", at positions 42 to 918 of the family's 1533-position model. The record is from RNAcentral.
ACGGGCUACACAUGCAGUCGAGCGCGACUUCGGGGUGAGCGGCGGCGGGUUAGUAACGCGUGGGAAUAUACCCUUUGGUACGGAAUAGCCUCUGGAAACGGAGAGUAAUACCGUAUGAGCCCUUCGGGGGAAAGAUUUAUCGCCAAAGGAUUAGCCCGCGUUAGAUUAGGUAGUUGGUGGGGUAAUGGCCUACCAAGCCUACGAUCUAUAGCUGGUUUUAGAGGAUGAUCAGCAACACUGGGACUGAGACACGGCCCAGACUCCUACGGGAGGCAGCAGUGGGGAAUCUUGGACAAUGGGGGCAACCCUGAUCCAGCCAUGCCGCGUGAGUGAUGAAGGCCUUAGGGUCGUAAAGCUCUUUCGCCUGUGAAGAUAAUGACGGUAGCAGGUAAAGAAACCCCGGCUAACUCCGUGCCAGCAGCCGCGGUAAUACGGAGGGGGUUAGCGUUGUUCGGAAUUACUGGGCGUAAAGCGCACGUAGGCGGACUGGAAAGUUGGGGGUGAAAUCCCGGGGCUCAACCCCGGAACUGCCUCCAAAACUAUCAGUCUAGAGUUCGAGAGAGGUGAGUGGAAUUCCGAGUGUAGAGGUGAAAUUCGUAGAUAUUCGGAGGAACACCAGUGGCGAAGGCGGCUCACUGGCUCGAUACUGACGCUGAGGUGCGAAAGUGUGGGGAGCAAACAGGAUUAGAUACCCUGGUAGUCCACACCGUAAACGAUGAAUGCCAGUCGUCGGGUAGCAUGCUAUUCGGUGACACACCUAACGGAUUAAGCAUUCCGCCUGGGGAGUACGGUCGCAAGAUUAAAACUCAAUGUUUGUGGGGGGG